UCUCAGGACAUUAGGCUUGGAACCCCUUAGAUCCUGAAGUAGCCACCAUUGCAGAAACAAGAGAAAGAGCCAGAGAGGGUAGGGUGCUGUGUAAGGUCACACAGUACAACAGAAACACUUGGGAGCCUGUCUGUGCCAGACCCUAUCUGAAGAAGACAUUGUUGGAGCAACAGCUUAGAGAAUCAAGGAGAAUGUGACUGUUUGUGUCUUUUAACCCACAAUGAUCCAUGCAACAGUAUCUUCCAGAUUUUCCAAUAGGCCAAAGAGAAAGUCUCCAACGAUGCUGUUAACAUCUUUUGAACACCCGUGGAUCGCGUGUGUGCUCUCCCAGUCUCUUUUGCUCUCUCUCUCACCUGGACAAAGCUGAUCUUGGACCCAGAACUUCUACAGACAAUGGGAAGAUCAUUCCCUCUCUGUCCAGUUCUUGGGAUGGCUGCAUCAAGUAUGGAGGUGCUGACGGUGGAGCCUUUCUGUAAUGAGCAUCCGCUAUGUUCCUGCUCUGUGGAAGAGCUCGAGCUUUGACCCUGGAUGCCAGACUUGGCCUACUUCUCACCCUGGCUGACAAGUGGAGCUACCCAGACCUACUCUAGAGAGCCUUUGGAUCUGGUUCUCAGGGGACCCCAGGGUCCAAGAUAGAGCAGGGCUGGACGCCCCCACGCCUCCAACAUAGCUGUUUUUUUCUGACUGGAGACAGAUCAGGGUCUGAGCACUUUUAUCUACCCUCACAAAGCUGCUGCUGCUGCUAAGUCACUUCAGUCGUGUCCGACUCUGUGCGACCCCAGAGAUGUGAGCCCACCAGGCUCCCCCGUCCCUGGGAUUCUCCAGGCAAGAACACUGGAGUGGGUUGCCAUUGCCUCACAAAACUAGAGCCCAUUUAUUCAUUUGUUCACACCCCUACCUGUGUGUGCCUCAUUCAUUCCUGGCCAUGCAAUGAAACAACUAGGAUUCUAAACACUGGAUCCAGGACCUGGGGGAUAAGACCUUUAAAUCCAGGCAUCCUCAGAAAUCCUCAGAUUUGUGUGUGUUUCUGGAGAAGGAGCUCAUGGCUGUUUUUCAGAUUCUCAACUGUGUUCAUCAUCCAAAGCAGGUUAAGAAACACUGGCUGGAGUGCAGGGACAGAAAGCUGACCCCCACCCCUACUCCAAACUCAGGGAAAGGCACUUGGAACAGCCACUCUGGAGAGCAAUUGGCCAACACCCAUGCACAGGCCAGGCUGUGUCACUCCUGUG
This is a long non-coding RNA of Bos taurus (domestic cattle), 1229 nucleotides long. Lineage: Eukaryota; Metazoa; Chordata; Mammalia; Artiodactyla; Bovidae. The record is from Ensembl.